CACAUGAUUGUUUUCAGCCAAUCGUGAGGCAGGUUUCCUUCUUAUACAUAACAAUAGGUGCUGAAUAAGUGGCAGGCUUAUAGUAUGAGCAGAGGUCAGAGAGACAUUAAGGGGUUUUGUGCAGUGUCCACCAAGGAGAUACCAACCAGCCAUGAGCAUCCUGCAUGGCCUCUUUCCUGUUUUCUUGCUGCUGCUACUGGCAGCUCUAGGAGAUGGGAUCCUUUUACAUCUGAUAGACUCAUUGGCUUGCAAGGGGAAGCAUGGCAGGUGCAGGAAAGCUUUCUGCUUUCUGAACGAGAGGCAAAUUGGGAUGUGUACCUUUCGUAGACGGUUCUGCUGCAGAAGGAAGAAAUAAAGAGCCGGCAGACCUGAGAGCUAAGAAAGAGUGAAGAUUUGGAGUCUGUAGGGAGAAGAACGUGUAACAGAAGGGCUGGUGGCAUCAAGAGGAAUAAUUGCUGUUCUCUGUUAGAUACAACCUAUUGCUCCUUCUUCUUCCUUUAAUUUCAAACAAAACUCGUGGCCAUGAUCGUGUCCUAUAUUUUCCUCUGCUACUGUUGUCAUCAUAUAGAUACUGUAGUCCCAAAUUCUGGCUCCCCAUGAAAUUUAGGAGUCUGUGGCACCUGAAUCUGGAUCCAAAUAUGUAUUUUGCA
Long non-coding RNA from Mauremys mutica (yellowpond turtle), 650 nucleotides. RefSeq lists it as uncharacterized. The transcript is spliced from 3 exons. The record is from RefSeq and is a predicted model, not a curated record. NCBI's taxonomy places the organism in Eukaryota, Metazoa, Chordata, Testudines, Geoemydidae.